UACGGGGGGUGCGAGCGUUGUCCGGAAUCACUGGGCGUAAAGGGCGCGUAGGUGGCGUCGUAAGUCUGUGGUGAAAGCCCGGAGCUCAACUCCGGGUCUGCCGCGGAUACUGCGAGGCUUGAGUGCUGGUAGAGGGGGGUAGAAUGCCGGGUGUAGCAGUGAAAUGCGUAGAGAUGUGGAGGAAUACCGAUGGCGAAGGCAGCCUCCUGGGCCAACACUGACGCUCAUGCACGAAAGCGUGGGGAGCAAACAGG
Molecule: ribosomal RNA, 254 nt
Filed under: uncultured bacterium
Lineage: Bacteria
Description: partial 16S ribosomal RNA
Rfam family: Bacterial small subunit ribosomal RNA
Source: RNAcentral